GGCUCCAUCGUCUAAUGGUAGGACAUAGGAUUUUCAAUCCUAGAACGUUGGGUUCAACUCCCACUGGAGUCA
This 72-nucleotide transfer RNA is filed under the name marine sediment metagenome. RNAcentral describes it as "tRNA-Glu". It matches the Rfam family "tRNA". Rfam says of the family: Transfer RNA (tRNA) molecules are approximately 80 nucleotides in length. Their secondary structure includes four short double-helical elements and three loops (D, anti-codon, and T loops). Further hydrogen bonds mediate the characteristic L-shaped molecular structure. tRNAs have two regions of fundamental functional importance: the anti-codon, which is responsible for specific mRNA codon recognition, and the 3' end, to which the tRNAs corresponding amino acid is attached (by aminoacyl-tRNA synthetases). tRNAs cope with the degeneracy of the genetic code in two manners: having more than one tRNA (with a specific anti-codon) for a particular amino acid; and 'wobble' base-pairing, i.e. permitting non-standard base-pairing at the 3rd anti-codon position. The record is from RNAcentral.